RNAcentral lists this ribosomal RNA (1299 nucleotides) under uncultured bacterium. Its description in RNAcentral is "bacterial SSU rRNA". It matches the Rfam family "Bacterial small subunit ribosomal RNA", at positions 100 to 1412 of the family's 1533-position model. The record is from RNAcentral.
GAACGGGUGAGUAACACGUGUGUGAUCUGCCCUGCACUUUGGGAUAAGCCUGGGAAACUGGGUCUAAUACCGGAUAGGACUACGCACUGCAUGGUGUGUGGUGGAAAGCUUUUGCGGUGUGGGAUGGGCCCNNNNNCUAUCAGCUUGUUGGUGGGGUGAUGGCCUACCAAGGCGACGACGGGUAGCCGGCCUGAGAGGGUGACCGGCCACACUGGGACUGAGAUACGGCCCAGACUCCUACGGGAGGCAGCAGUGGGGAAUAUUGCACAAUGGGCGCAAGCCUGAUGCAGCGACGCCGCGUGAGGGAUGACGGCCUUCGGGUUGUAAACCUCUUUCGCCAGGGACGAAGCGCAAGUGACGGUACCUGGAGAAGAAGGACCGGCCAACUACGUGCCAGCAGCCGCGGUAAUACGUAGGGUCCGAGCGUUGUCCGGAAUUACUGGGCGUAAAGAGCUCGUAGGUGGUUUGUCGCGUUGUUCGUGAAAACUCACAGCUUAACUGUGGGCGUGCGGGCGAUACGGGCAGACUGGAGUACUGCAGGGGAGACUGGAAUUCCUGGUGUAGCGGUGGAAUGCGCAGAUAUCAGGAGGAACACCGGUGGCGAAGGCGGGUCUCUGGGCAGUAACUGACGCUGAGGAGCGAAAGCGUGGGGAGCGAACAGGAUUAGAUACCCUGGUAGUCCACGCCGUAAACGGUGGGUACUAGGUGUGGGUUUCCUUCCUUGGGAUCCGUGCCGUAGCUAACGCAUUAAGUACCCCGCCUGGGGAGUACGGCCGCAAGGCUAAAACUCAAAGGAAUUGACGGGGGCCCGCACAAGCGGCGGAGCAUGUGGAUUAAUUCGAUGCAACGCGAAGAACCUUACCUGGGUUUGACAUGCACAGGACGCCGGCAGAGAUGUCGGUUCCCUUGUGGCCUGUGUGCAGGUGGUGCAUGGCUGUCGUCAGCUCGUGUCGUGAGAUGUUGGGUUAAGUCCCGCAACGAGCGCAACCCUUGUCUCAUGUUGCCAGCACGUUAUGGUGGGGACUCGUGAGAGACUGCCGGGGUCAACUCGGAGGAAGGUGGGGAUGACGUCAAGUCAUCAUGCCCCUUAUGUCCAGGGCUUCACACAUGCUACAAUGGCCGGUACAAAGGGCUGCGAUGCCGUGAGGUGGAGCGAAUCCUUUCAAAGCCGGNNNCAGUUCGGAUCGGGGUCUGCAACUCGACCCCGUGAAGUCGGAGUCGCUAGUAAUCGCAGAUCAGCAACGCUGCGGUGAAUACGUUCCCGGGCCUUGACACACCGCCCGUCACGUCAUGAAAGUC